GACGAACGCUGGCGGCGUGCUUAACACAUGCAAGUCGAACGAAGAGCGACGGAAGCUUGCUUCUAUCAAUCUUAGUGGCGAACGGGUGAGUAACGCGUAAUCAACCUGCCCUUCAGAGGGGGACAACAGUUGGAAACGACCGCUAAUACCGCAUACGAUCUAAUCUCGGCAUCGAGGAUAGAUGAAAGGUGGCCUCUACAUGUAAGCUAUCACUGAAGGAGGGGAUUGCGUCUGAUUAGCUAGUUGGAGGGGUAACGGCCCACCAAGGCGAUGAUCAGUAGCCGGUCUGAGAGGAUGAACGGCCACAUUGGGACUGAGACACGGCCCAGACUCCUACGGGAGGCAGCAGUGGGGAAUCUUCCGCAAUGGACGAAAGUCUGACGGAGCAACGCCGCGUGAGUGAUGACGGCCUUCGGGUUGUAAAGCUCUGUUAAUCGGGACGAAAGGCCUUCUUGCGAACAGUUAGAA
RNAcentral lists this ribosomal RNA (468 nucleotides) under Veillonella parvula. RNAcentral describes it as "bacterial SSU rRNA". It matches the Rfam family "Bacterial small subunit ribosomal RNA", at positions 28 to 472 of the family's 1533-position model. Lineage: Bacteria; Bacillati; Bacillota; Negativicutes; Veillonellales; Veillonellaceae. The record is from RNAcentral.